This 534-nucleotide ribosomal RNA is filed under the name Eimeriidae sp. Its description in RNAcentral is "bacterial SSU rRNA". It matches the Rfam family "Eukaryotic small subunit ribosomal RNA", at positions 391 to 890 of the family's 1831-position model. Lineage: Eukaryota; Apicomplexa; Conoidasida; Eucoccidiorida; Eimeriidae. The record is from RNAcentral.
GGAGCCUGAGAAACGGCUACCACAUCUAAGGAAGGCAGCAGGCGCGCAAAUUACCCAAUGAAAACAGUUUUGAGGUAGUGACGAGAAAUAACAAUACAGAGCAUUUAAAUGUUUUGUAAUUGGAAUGGUGGGAAUCUAAACCCCUUUCAGAGUAACAAUUGGAGGGAAAGUCUGGUGCCAGCAGCCGCGGUAAUUCCAGCUCCAAUAGCGUAUAUUUGAGUUGUUGCAGUUAAAAAGCUCGUAGUUGGAUUUCUGUCUUGGUUUACGGGUACGCCUUAACAUUAAUUUGUGGGUGUUUUACUUUUGUUUAAGCCUGGACAAUAUUGGUUCCCGGUGUUUAUGUGUUUUUGUUGUUGCGUUAAGCGCAAUGAAUACAUGUAAAAUGUUGGGACUCUUUUACUUUGAGAAAAAUAGAGUGUUUCAAGCAGGCCUGUCGCCUUGAAUACUGCAGCAUGGAAUAAUAAUUUAGGACUUUGGUUCUAUUUUGUUGGUUUCUAGGACUAAAGUAAUGAUUAAUAGGGACAGUUGGGGGCA